GUAACACGACACUGAUGAAAGGACAAGCUAUUUUCUUGAACAAACAAAGUUAGAUACUCAGAUUCCCAGCAUACACAGAACAGAACUUGUUGCGUAUGAAUUUACAGCUGCCGUAGCAAAUUCCAUGUUAUGAUGUGGACGAACGCAGGAAUACUGCUAAAUUUAAUCUUGGGAUUGACAUUAACUGUUGGAGAAAGCCCUGUGACAUCGAAUGGACGUAUCGUAAGCACCACUGCAGAAGCGAGUAUAAGUGAGGGCUUAAGCAAAGGAAUUAUAGCAGUGAUAAUUGGUAUUUGCCUAACAUCAUUCUUUGUGAUUAUAAUUGCGUAUUAUAUGGUGCGUGGAUAUCAAAAACAAGGAAGCAACGAUUUGGCCACGAUUGAGGAAAAUGGGGGAAAUACAUCAGACCAUGUAGCAGCGAAAAGCAAUAUGGGAUUACGUCAACUAUAAAAUCUUAAAAGUGUUUUAUUGAAAGCAGAAACUAUAUAGUUUAUGUAGUCUGUCGUGAAAAAAUAAAACAGGUAUAUAUCGCGGAAUUGGCUGACACCGCGCUCCAUAACUUUCAAAGUGAAAGUCAGUUCUGCGCAUCACUUCUGCUCAUAACAAUGUGAGGUCCUCAGAAAUUUUGCCCUAAUUUCGCAUGUUUCAAAUUUUUCUUAUGAAAAACACUAGUUCAUAUUCAUUUAAAGGCACAGCGAACCUAAACGUUGUUAAAUAUUCAGACAACACAACCAUUUAAAGAAGUGUAGAAGUUCAAAAUGUGAACAAACCGUUCGUUUACAUACGCCACGGCAGACUUGACUUCCACUUUAUUGUUCGUUGCUUUUAUACUGGAUUCAUCCCAAAUUGCUAGUCUAUUUGCAUGUGAACUGAAAUAUACAGUAACAUAUCUAUAAUAUGUACUCAUUAAAUUAACAUCAUUUACAUAAAGCGAUAUGAGGCAUGCAGAUGUGUGAAACUCGUCAUGAUCAUGGGAAGCAGUUAGUAAUAUCAUGGUUGAUUGCAUGUGGAUAGCCAAAGGCUCAGAUGAAGUAUAUCAACCUCGUACCCAGGGUAAUUUCACUGUCUUAUAGGGGGAGACCCUGGGUACGAGGUUGGAGGUAUAUCGUGAACAAACGAUGUAUGUUAUAACUUCCCGUCUUCU
Molecule: long non-coding RNA, 1144 nt
Organism: Dendronephthya gigantea
Lineage: Eukaryota; Metazoa; Cnidaria; Anthozoa; Malacalcyonacea; Nephtheidae
Exons: 4
Source: RefSeq, a predicted model, not a curated record